AUUGAACGCUGGCGGCAGGCCUAACACAUGCAAGUCGAGCGGAUGAAGGGAGCUUGCUCCUGGAUUCAGCGGCGGACGGGUGAGUAAUGCCUAGGAAUCUGCCUGGUAGUGGGGGAUAACGUCCGGAAACGGGCGCUAUUACCGCAUACGCCCUGAGGACGAAAGUGGGGGAUCUUCGGACCUCACGCCAUCAGAUGAGCCUAGGUCGGAUUAGCUCGUUGGUGGGGUAAAGGCCUACCAAGGCGACGAUCCGUAACUGGUCUGAGAGGAUGAUCAGUCACACGGGAACUGAGACACGGUCCAGACUCCUACGGGAGGCAGCAGUGGGGAAUAUUGGACAAUGGGCGAAAGCCUGAUCCAGCCAUGCCGCGUGUGUGAAGAAGGUCUUCGGAUUGUAAAGCACUUUAAGUUGGGAGGAAGGGCAGUAAGUUAAUACCUUGCUGUUUUGACGUUACCAACAGAAUAAGCACCGGCUAACUUCGUG
RNAcentral lists this ribosomal RNA (484 nucleotides) under uncultured bacterium. Its description in RNAcentral is "partial 16S ribosomal RNA". It matches the Rfam family "Bacterial small subunit ribosomal RNA", at positions 30 to 507 of the family's 1533-position model. The record is from RNAcentral.